AAGGGGGCUUCUCCUCCUCCUUAGGAGCUAUGUCCACACCCUGUCGAGUCCUCUAUAUACUCAAGGGAUGAUGUCCGAAUCCUCCAACCUUAGUCCACCCUUUCCCCAGGGGCUAUAUCCGCCUCACAUCUUCCCUCCCUUCUCCGAGUGCAGUGUCUUAACCACCCUCCCCCACAUCCUUACUCUAUCCCUCUCCCUCUUAGGGUGAUGUCCCUCGACCCCCUCAGCUGUGCUGGGAUGGGGAAGGUUUCUCGCAAUAACGCUUCAAGUGAAGGAAGGCGGUGGAAGCACUUAUCUGCUAAUGCAUCUUGUCUCCUGUGGUUCAGUACCUAGAAGUGCUCACACAUUGUCACCCUCCUCUCCCUGCUCGUCUGGAGUUGGGCGCAGCUGCGCUAUGGCCCCCCCUGUCCCAGAUUUCAGCUGCAGGGCCGAGCUCAACUUUUCCUUCAUAGGCCUGAGCGUCCUUGCUCCAGUAAUGUCCUCCUCCCACCUACCCUGAUUGUACCUAUCCCUGAAGGCAGUGACGACCCCAUCCUACAGUGACUACUCCUCCC
This 554-nucleotide long non-coding RNA is filed under the name Phascolarctos cinereus (koala). RNAcentral describes it as "lncRNA (ENSPCIG00000017905.2)". The record is from RNAcentral. Lineage: Eukaryota; Metazoa; Chordata; Mammalia; Diprotodontia; Phascolarctidae.